AACGAACGCUGGCGGCAUGCCUUACACAUGCAAGUCGAACGACACCUUCGUGUCUCGUGGCGCACGGGUGCGUAACGCCGGACAACCUGCCCUUAGGUUCGGAAUAACUCCCCGAAAGGGGUUCUAAUACCGGAUAAUGUCUUCGGACCAAAGAUUUAUCGCCGUUGGAUGGGCCCGCGUUGGAUUCGCUAGUUGGUAGGGUAAAAGCCUACCAAGGCGACGAUCCAUAGCUGGUCUGAGAGGAUGAGCAGCCACACUGGGACUGAGACACGGCGCAGACUCCUACAGGAGGCAGGAGUGGGGAAUCUAGGAAUGUGGGGGAAGGCCUGAACCAGCAAUGCUGCGAGAGUGAUGAAGGCCGUAGGGUAGUAAAGCUCUUUUACCCGGGGUGAUAAUGACAGUACCGGAAGAAUAAGCUCCGGCUAACUACGUG
RNAcentral lists this ribosomal RNA (433 nucleotides) under uncultured bacterium. RNAcentral describes it as "partial 16S ribosomal RNA". It matches the Rfam family "Bacterial small subunit ribosomal RNA", at positions 29 to 507 of the family's 1533-position model. The record is from RNAcentral.